UAUAAAAAGCCUAAUCCAGCCCAGGAGCGGGGGAACCAGAUUAUUAAUUCUAGUGUGGAAGCGGCAUGGUGAAGGAACAUGUGGCGGAAGCAUAAAGGUUAUUGGGGUGAAUUAUAAGCGGCGGCCUCGGCAAGACCGCGAAGAAGGGUGUAUUUCCACCCUAACCCGACAGCUAACCUCGCAGGCGAAAAGAGAGAGGA
Molecule: small RNA, 200 nt
Filed under: uncultured Anaerovibrio sp.
Lineage: Bacteria; Bacillati; Bacillota; Negativicutes; Selenomonadales; Selenomonadaceae
Description: ydaO/yuaA leader
Rfam family: c-di-AMP riboswitch aptamer (ydaO/yuaA leader)
About the family: This family represents a conserved RNA structure found upstream of the ydaO and yuaA genes in Bacillus subtilis and related genes in other bacteria. The ydaO/yuaA element is thought to act as a genetic "off" switch for the ydaO and yuaA genes in its native state. It is believed that the element may be triggered during osmotic shock leading to activation of ydaO, a predicted amino acid transporter gene, and members of the yuaA-yubG operon which code for KtrA and KtrB K+ transporters.
Source: RNAcentral